Molecule: ribosomal RNA, 397 nt
Filed under: uncultured bacterium
Lineage: Bacteria
Description: partial 16S ribosomal RNA
Rfam family: Bacterial small subunit ribosomal RNA
Source: RNAcentral
AUACGUAGGUGGCAAGCGUUGUCCGGAAUUAUUGGGCGUAAAGCGCGCGCAGGUGGUUCCUUAAGUCUGAUGUGAAAGCCCCCGGCUCAACCGGGGAGGGUCAUUGGAAACUGGGGAACUUGAGUGCAGAAGAGGAUAGUGGAAUUCCAAGUGUAGCGGUGAAAUGCGUAGAGAUUUGGAGGAACACCAGUGGCGAAGGCGACUGUCUGGUCUGUAACUGACACUGAGGCGCGAAAGCGUGGGGAGCAAACAGGAUUAGAUACCCUGGUAGUCCACGCCGUAAACGAUGAGUGCUAAGUGUUAGGGGGUUUCCGCCCCUUAGUGCUGCAGCUAACGCAUUAAGCACUCCGCCUGGGGAGUACGGUCGCAAGACUGAAACUCAAAUGAAUUGGCGGGG